This 468-nucleotide small RNA is filed under the name Pan troglodytes (chimpanzee). RNAcentral describes it as "retained intron". The record is from RNAcentral. Lineage: Eukaryota; Metazoa; Chordata; Mammalia; Primates; Hominidae.
CCACCAUGAGCUGGCUGGAGGAGAACGUCCACGAGGUUCUGCAAGCAGUGGACGCCGGGGACCCAGCCGUGGAAGCCUGUGAGAACCGGCGGAAGGUGCUCUACCAGCGUGCACCCAGGAAUAUCCACCGCCAUGUGAUCCUCUCUGAGAUCAAGGAAGCCGUCGCUGCCCUGCCCCCGGACGUGACCACGCAGUCUGUGAUGGGGUUUGAUCCUCUGCCUCCUUCGGACACAAUCUACUCCUACGUCAGGCCAGAGAGGAAGGGAGAGGAGGAGAGGAACAGUGUUAUUUGGGGGUCACAGCUCUGCGUUUGCAGGCCACGUUCUUUCCCAUCUCCACCGAACGUAUGAGCGCUUGCGUGUCGGCCUCUGUGGCAGGUGCGAGUGACACAGUGGAAGCAGGUGUGCAGUGAAGUGGGGAAAACAUAUUAAUUUUAGAAUCUAGAAAUAAACAUAAAAUCAAAACUGC